AAGUCGUAACAAGGUUUCCGUAGGUGAACCUGCGGAAGGAUCAUUAACACGUAUCCAAACGUUAAACCCCCCUGUGAACCUUCAGAUGUACUCCUACGUCCGUUAGAAAAAGCAGCAAUCCCUGGUAAAUCAUCGCCGAACAGUUUUCGAUUCUGGGAUGUCUGCAAGGAGCGUGGAUGUUGUGCGAAGCAAGUGGCCUGGCAUCCCCAAGCAGUUAGUGUCUGAAAGUGUCAUUAACUGUGUAAGGAUGACGCAGUCACGAUCGUUGGAGGCCCACACGGCCGACGACCGGGUCACUGGGCGCAAGCCCCCUUAUCACAAACCCAUAUCUACACUUAGGGCCGCGUGAAAUUCGCAGUCCAACAAAAACCGAACAACUGUUAACAAUGGAUAUCUUGGUUCUC
This 404-nucleotide unclassified non-coding RNA is filed under the name fungal sp. RNAcentral describes it as "partial internal transcribed spacer region". The stretch from base 1 to 46 matches the Rfam family "Eukaryotic small subunit ribosomal RNA", at positions 1786 to 1831 of the family's 1831-position model. The record is from RNAcentral. Lineage: Eukaryota; Fungi.